CCUGACUGUAUCCGACUUGUUGGAACAACCUUGUAACAAGCCUGAUAAAUGAUAAUAUCAACAAAGUUGUUACAAAUUGUUAACAGCUUGUUCCAAACUUGUUGACAACUUGUGACAAGCAGUGCGAAGACAACUUGUUGACGGCUUGUUAACAAACUUGUUACAAGAUGUGAGAUUUUUGCGUGAGUGUAAUAGAAACUAACAGCACGAAUUAAAUUUCUAUAUCUACUAUAUAUAUCUUUCCAUGCGGCCUACGGUACCAACUUUCUUCACCAUUCACGUCAAAAUUUUCAUUUGGCAUUUAUCAGUAUUUUUCUGUAAUUUUUAGUGACCGAUUUUUAAAAUUUUGUACCGAAUUUUGUAUUAUUCUGUAUAUGUCUAUUCAUCAUGUGUCCAUGACAAUAUUGCUUUGCAAAUACUAGAUCGGAGUCUAGAUAAUUUAUCGCAAGAAAAUAUGACAAAAUGUGAUUGAAAUGAAGCUAUGGAUAGGUCAUAAUUUAUUGUAAAUUUGUAAAUAUUAUUAGUAUAGUAUAGAUAGGCUAAGAUAGCAC
This is a non-coding RNA of Paramuricea clavata, 551 nucleotides long. The record is from the annotation of a GenBank genome assembly. Lineage: Eukaryota; Metazoa; Cnidaria; Anthozoa; Malacalcyonacea; Plexauridae.